UUUACCAUUUCGGUAAAGUCACUGAGGGCACUGGAAAUCAUACGUUCGUAGUAAAACAAACUCAAAGUCUUCAAGAAGAUCUUCGUCAUCUCUUUCUCUUCCAAUGGAGGAUUAAUUUAGGCAACAAGUUCCCUCCACCUCUUAGCAUACUCUUUGAACGUCUCCUUAUCCUUCUGAGACAUAGACCUCAACUCGUCUCUAUCG
This 204-nucleotide long non-coding RNA is filed under the name Lathyrus oleraceus (garden pea). Its description in RNAcentral is "Pisum sativum (pea) long non-coding RNA (PSAT_LNC011409)". The record is from RNAcentral. Lineage: Eukaryota; Viridiplantae; Streptophyta; Magnoliopsida; Fabales; Fabaceae.